This is a long non-coding RNA of Bos taurus (domestic cattle), 512 nucleotides long. The record is from Ensembl. Lineage: Eukaryota; Metazoa; Chordata; Mammalia; Artiodactyla; Bovidae.
AUCACAGCCAGGAGCAGCCACCAUGGCUGGGCUGCUGACUCAGGAGCUCACUGGGGGUUUUUUGCUCAUAGCCCUGGAAAGCUGCUCUGUGUCAAUGAAGGAACACAUGUCUCCUGGGUGGCCAAGGUGGAACCCCAUCUGGAGAGAAGCGGUGGGGCCAUGAAAAGAUGGAGCUCAGAGCUAUACCGCUUGGGUUGACAACCAGCUUCGUGCCUUACUGCCUCCGGGCCUUCAGAAGUUCUUGGCAUUACUCAGCCCCCGUUUCCUCCUCCGUGUAACAGGUCUUAGUUGCAACACGUGGGAUCUCUGAUCUUCAUAGGCAGGAUCUUUUCAGUGUCGGCAUGUGGGAUCCAGUUCCCUGACCAGGGAUGGAAACUGGGCCUCUUGAAGUGGAAGCACAGAGUGUUAACCACUCGACCACCAGGGAAGUCCUAUAAUCUGUAUUUUCAAAUGUGUCCUCAAGUGAUUCUGUUGCUCAGUCAGGCUUGGGAAUCAUCAGCCUAGUUUCUCAA